UACGAAGGGGGCUAGCGUUGCUCGGAAUUACUGGGCGUAAAGGGAGCGUAGGCGGAUGUUUAAGUCGGGGGUGAAAGCCCGGGGCUCAACCCCGGAACUGCCUUCGAUACUGGGCAUCUAGAGUACGGGAGAGGUGUGUGGAACUCCGAGUGUAGAGGUGAAAUUCGUAGAUAUUGGGUAGAACACCAGUGGCGAAGGCGACUCUCUGGUCCGAUACUGACGCUGAGGUGCGAAAGCGUGGGGAGCAAACAGG
This 253-nucleotide ribosomal RNA is filed under the name uncultured bacterium. RNAcentral describes it as "partial 16S ribosomal RNA". It matches the Rfam family "Bacterial small subunit ribosomal RNA", at positions 524 to 776 of the family's 1533-position model. The record is from RNAcentral.